This 384-nucleotide ribosomal RNA is filed under the name uncultured bacterium. Its description in RNAcentral is "bacterial SSU rRNA". It matches the Rfam family "Bacterial small subunit ribosomal RNA", at positions 30 to 416 of the family's 1533-position model. The record is from RNAcentral.
AUUGAACGCUGGCGGCAUGCCUUACACAUGCAAGUCGAACGGCAGCACGGGGCAACCUGGUGGCGAGUGGCGAACGGGUGUGUAAUGCAUCGGAACGUGCCAUUGAGUGGGGGAUAACGUAGCGAAAGUUGCGCUAAUACCGCAUAUUCUGUGAGCAGGAAAGCAGGGGACCGCAAGGCCUUGCGCUCUUUGAGCGGCCGAUGUCAGAUUAGCUAGUUGGUGAGGUAACGGCUUACCAAGGCGACGAUCUGUAGCGGGUCUGAGAGGAUGAUCCGCCACACUGGAACUGAGACACGGUCCAGACUCCUACGGGAGGCAGCAGUGGGGAAUUUUGGACAAUGGGCGCAAGCCUGAUCCAGCCAUGCCGCGUGAGUGAAGAAGGCC